AGCUUUGCGCAGUGGCAGUAUCGUAACCAAUGAGGUUUAUCCAUGGCAAGAUUAUUGCUAAUUGAAAAG
Molecule: small nuclear RNA, 69 nt
Filed under: Otolemur garnettii (small-eared galago)
Lineage: Eukaryota; Metazoa; Chordata; Mammalia; Primates; Galagidae
Description: U4 spliceosomal RNA
Rfam family: U4 spliceosomal RNA
About the family: U4 small nuclear RNA (U4 snRNA) is a component of the major U2-dependent spliceosome. The structure of U4 snRNA from yeast and human has been reported.
Source: Rfam by way of RNAcentral